This 453-nucleotide ribosomal RNA is filed under the name uncultured bacterium. RNAcentral describes it as "bacterial SSU rRNA". It matches the Rfam family "Bacterial small subunit ribosomal RNA", at positions 340 to 786 of the family's 1533-position model. The record is from RNAcentral.
UACGGAAGGCAGCAGUGGGGAAUAUUGCACAAUGGGCGCAAGCCUGAUGCAGCCAUGCCGCGUGUAUGAAGAAGGGCCUUCGGGUUGUAAAGUACUUUCAGUCGUGAGGAAGGUGUUAAGGUUAAUAACCUUAGCAAUUGACGUUAGCGACAGAAGAAGCACCGGCUAACUCCGUGCCAGCAGCCGCGGUAAUACGGAGGGUGCGAGCGUUAAUCGGAAUUACUGGGCGUAAAGGGCACGCAGGCGGUUAAUUAAGUUGGAUGUGAAAUCCCCGGGCUUAACCUGGGAAUGGCAUUCAAGACUGGUUAGCUAGAGUCUUGUAGAGGGGGUAGAAUUCCAUGUGUAGCGGUGAAAUGCGUAGAGAUGUGGAGGAAUACCGGUGGCGAAGGCGGCCCCUGGGCAAAGGCUGACGCUCAUGUGCGAAAGCGUGGGGAGCAAACAGGAUUAGAUACC